RNAcentral lists this ribosomal RNA (1577 nucleotides) under metagenome. Its description in RNAcentral is "bacterial LSU rRNA". It matches the Rfam family "Bacterial large subunit ribosomal RNA", at positions 1357 to 2925 of the family's 2925-position model. The record is from RNAcentral.
GCGCAACGUUCAUCGGCGCAGGGUGAGUCGGCCCCUAAGGCGAGGCUGAAAAGCGUAGUCGAUGGGAAACAGGUCAAUAUUCCUGUACCUCUUUGUAAUGCGAUGGGGGGACGGAGAAGGUUAGGUCAGCCGGGUGUUGGACGUCCCGGUUCAAGCGUGUAGGCAGACCUCUUAGGCAAAUCCGGGGGGUCAAUGCCGAGGCGUGAUAACGAGUGGCUUUGGCCGCGAAGUGAUUGAUACCAUGCUUCCAAGAAAAGCCUCUAAGCUUCAGUUACAAGGAGACCGUACCGCAAACCGACACAGGUGGGCAGGAUGAGAAUUCUAAGGCGCUUGAGAGAACUCAGGAGAAGGAACUCGGCAAAUUAGCACCGUAACUUCGGGAUAAGGUGCGCCCUGACAGGUUGUAGCCCCUCGCGGGUGAAGGCCGAAAGGGUUGCAGUGAAAUGGUGGCUGCGACUGUCUAAUAAAAACACAGCACUCUGCAAACACGAAAGUGGAAGUAUAGGGUGUGACGCCUGCCCGGUGCCGGAAGGUUAAGUGAUGGGGUGCAAGCUCUUGAUCGAAGCCCCGGUAAACGGCGGCCGUAACUAUAACGGUCCUAAGGUAGCGAGAUUCCUUGUCGGGUAAGUUCCGACCUGCACGAAUGGCGUAACGAUGGCCACACUGUCUCCUCCUGAGACUCAGCGAAGUUGAAAUGGUUGUGAAGAUGCAAUCUCCCCGCGGUUAGACGGAAAGACCCCAUGAACCUUUACUGUAGCUUUGCAUUGGACUUUGAACCGACUUGUGUAGGAUAGGUGGGAGGCUGUGAAGCCGGGACGCUAGUCUUGGUGGAGCCAACCUUGAAAUACCACCCUGGUCUGUUUGAGGUUCUAACCAUGGCCCGUGAAUCCGGGUCUGGGACCGUGCAUGGUAGGCAGUUUGACUGGGGCGGUCUCCUCCUAAAGUGUAACGGAGGAGUACGAAGGUACGCUAGGUACGGUCGGACAUCGUGCUGAUAGUGCAAUGGCAAAAGCGUGCUUGACUGCGAGACUCACACGUCGAGCAGGUACGAAAGUAGGUCAUAGUGAUCCGGUGGUUCUGUAUGGAAGGGCCAUCGCUCAACGGAUAAAAGGUACUCUGGGGAUAACAGGCUAAUACCGCCCAAGAGUUCAUAUCGACGGCGGUGUUUGGCACCUCGAUGUCGGCUCAUCACAUCCUGGGGCUGCAGUUGGUCCCAAGGGUAUGGCUGUUCGCCAUUUAAAGUGGUACGUGAGCUGGGUUUAAAACGUCGUGAGACAGUUUGGUCCCUAUCUGCCGUGGGCGCUGGAAAUUUGAAGGGGGCUGCUCCUAGUACGAGAGGACCGGAGUGGACGAACCUCUGGUGUACCGGUUAUGACGCCAGUCGUAUUGCCGGGUAGCUAAGUUCGGAAGAGAUAAACGCUGAAAGCAUCUAAGCGUGAAACUCGCCUUGAGAUAAGAUUUCCCUGGGGACUUGAUCCCCCUGAAGGGUCGUGGUAGACCACCACGUUGAUAGGCUGGGUGUGGAAGCGCAGCAAUGCGUUAAGCUAACCAGUACUAAUUGCCCGUGAGGCUUGAGC